AUGGAGGCUCUAGAUGCCGUGCUCCUGAUGGCGAGGAUAGCGGCCGACCCUGAUCUUCAAGCAGCGAUGCAAGCUCAUGUUACUGUUAUGCUGGGUCCGUCGGUCCUCCUCCUCCGGGAUCUUGAUUCUUCCGGACAGAGUCUUCUCGGUGCAGAGGAGCUUCGUCUUCUUCGAGAUGCUCUCAGGGAAGUAUGCAUCCCCCUGAAGAGUAUGUCGGAAGACGACGGCGCUAGCUUCAUGGCCAGAUGGUGGAUGAAGAUAGUUCGGGAGCUUUGUUAUGACACGCAGGAUUACCUCAACUUCGUCCAAAGUGCUCGAGAUCGUCCUGAUUUUUCAGAGUUACCUGAUCGUGCCAAGGCUGUUUAUUCAGGCUUACUUGCUCGUGCCAUUGAUGCAAGGGAAAGACGCAGAGGUUUCCAGUGGUCUCCCAAGACCACCCGGUCUGACACGCAGGAAGCCUUCGACCGCCGCUUCUCCAAAGCUUUGGCCCGGGUGUCGGGUUCCUUGGGUGUCUGUACCACACCUGGUGCCGUGGUCGUGGAGGCCCCAAACAAGCUUGUCGAGCUGCUAGCUUUAGACGACGAUGUCGACGACAAGACACUCAAGGUGAUACCUAUAAUUGGAUGUGCAGGUGUUGGAAAGACAACAGCUGCCAGAACCUUGUAUCACAAGCAUGGAGGGAAAUUUCAGUGCCGGGCUUUCGUAAGUGCGUCUCAGAAUCCAGAUAUGAGGGGGAUCCUUACCAGCAUGCUCGCACAACUGAAGGCACCAUGGCCCCCUGGCUUUCCUGAUGUGCUGGACCUUAUUGGUGCUAUCAGCAAGCAUCUCCAAGGCAAAGGGUACUUCAUCGUACUUGAUGAUUUAUGGACUGCAUCGGUAUGGCAUAUUGUUAGCCGCGCUUUUCCUCGUGGUGGUCACGGCAGCAGAAUAAUAACAACUACACAAGUGCAUGACGUAGCACUGGCAUGCUCUGGUUAUCACUCGGUCCGUAUAUAUAAGAUGGAACUUCUUGAUGAAUAUGAAUCUCGAAAGUUAUUCUUCCGUAGGGUGUUUAGCUCUGCCCCUGGAGAUGGUUGUUCUCCAGCUACCAAAGAAGUCUCAUACGAGAUUAUCAGGAAAUGUGAAGGUUUACCAUUAGCAAUUGUAAGUAUAGCUGGUCUGUUAGCAAGCGAAUUAAGCAUCGUCAUGGAGGAUUGGAGGCACAUACAGAAUUCUUUUUCCUCUACUUCCGAAGGGAUGAACGAUGUUUUAAACCUUAUCUACAAUAGUCUUCCACCUGGUUUGAGGACAUGCUUGCUAUAUCUGAGUAUGUAUCCACAGGGCUACGUGAUGAAGAAGGCUGAGUUGGUGAGGCACUGGGUAGCCGAAGGUUUUUUCGGUGAUGUGGAAGGGACAGUCACAAUGAAAAUUGCUGAGGGUUAUUUUGAUGAGCUUGUCAGCAGAGCAAUGGUCCAAGCAGUGGACACCAAUCAUAUUGGCGAGGUGUUGUCAUGUACGGUUCACCAUUUGGUACUGGAUUUUAUUAGGUCCAAAUCCUUGGAGGAGAAUUUUGUCACCACUGUGGACUAUUCUGAAUCAAUUCUAGCAAACACUGAUAAAGUUCGUCGAUUAUCCAUCCAGUUUGGAGGGGUAAAAAGCGCAUACAUUCCAGAAACCAUCAUAACAUCGAAAGUUCGGUCACUUGCAUAUUGGGGUUUCUUCAAGUGUGCGCCUCCUUCCAUUAUGGAUUAUGGAUUUCUGUAUUCUGAAUCUUCAUAUUUGGGCUGAUGAAGACAAUGAGAUUUUUGACCUCAUUGGAAUCACAAAGCUUUCUCUUCUGAAGUAUCUCAAGAUUGAAUGUAAUAUCACCGUCAAACUUCCAGACAGGAUUGGAAUGCUCCGAUACUUGGAGACACUGGAAGUAGAUGCAAGAUUGUUUGCUGUUCCAUCAGAUAUGGAUAAUCUGGAGAGGUUACUGCACCUUCGCCUUCCGAGCGAGUCUAUUCUGCCCCAAGAAGUUGCCCGCGUGAGAUCUGUUCGCUCUCUAGGGUAUCUUGGCCUUAGCUUGCUCACCACUGAAUUUGUUAGAUCUUGUACGGAGAAUUCUAACCUCCAGGAUCUCGAGCUCACCUGUUCUAUGGUACAGCGAGCAGAAACUCUGAAAAAGAAUGUGCAAAUCUUAGGCUCGAUUGUUGAGAAGCUUAGCUACUUGCACACCAUAACUUUGGUGGCUGCUUCAGUCUCCUCUCAUGAGGAUGAUGCUCAGGCUGCACCUGCAAGCAUAAUUAUUCCCCCUGAUGGCUUUAACAUGGCGUCUCCUCCUCCAGACCUGCUUCUACAGAGGAUCGAGCUGUCGCGGCACUGCUGCAUCUUCUUCUGCAUACCUAAGUGGUUUGGAGAGCUAAGGAAACUCUGCAUCCUAAAGAUUGCAAUUAGGAGUCUGUCGACGAGUGGUAUCGAAAUCCUGGAAAGAAUGCCAGCCCUCGCUGCUCUCACCCUGUAUAAUCAGACAACUCCCACAGAAAAGAUGAUCAUGACUGACGGGGGAUUCUAUAGACUCACGUACUUCAAGUUCUUGUGCGCUGCACCAUGCCUGUCAUUUGCACAGGGAGCAAUGCGCAGACUCCAAAACCUCAACCUAGGAUUCAACUCAAAAGAAUGGAGAUCGGAUACCAUUGAAACUGUAGGCUUGAGUCACUUGAGAAGCCUUACGGAUGUAUGUGUAAGACUUGGCGCUGGGGCUGCUGACAACUUCAACGUAAAAGUUGCCGAGUCGACAUUGGAGGCUGUCGUCAGGAAUCACCCCAACUCUCCUAGGAUGAGAAUCAAAUUUGUGGAUGUGAUUUUUGAUGGUGAGGAGGAUGAGAACACCGCGACUCACGAGAAUCAAGAAGGCAAGGAAAGCAGGUACGGCUUUUUCUUCCGUUUACAAGAAUUUUGUAGGGGUUUUAAAGGAUAG
This 2938-nucleotide ribosomal RNA is filed under the name Triticum aestivum (bread wheat). RNAcentral's name for it is "partial small subunit ribosomal RNA". The record is from RNAcentral. Lineage: Eukaryota; Viridiplantae; Streptophyta; Magnoliopsida; Poales; Poaceae.